GUCGCGGCGGCUACGCCCACCUGGACCCAGUUUACCCUGUACUGUGCUGCAAAAUAUUACUUUCUCCCCAUCUGGAAUUCUUCCCUUCCUCCUUCCUGCCGCAGUGGUGUACUGAGCACUUUCACGUAAGAGUAUUCCUCCACUCGAACAACCCCCCGGAGAAGUACUGGUGUCACUGCCACCUGCGAGAGUUUGCGGCUACCUCCCCAAGAGGCAGUCCCAGGGUUAUUGUGACCUAUGAUGUUUAUUCAACUACUGUUGACGGGCUGCUGUGCACAGGGAACCUAGUAGGCAAGACCCCUGCCAUCGUGCAGCUUACUGUCAGGUUGACACAGACCUUAAGAAAGAACAAAAUUUUAAAUAAAUUAAAAACGACACCUGUAAUUUGAGAAGAUGCUUGAUAUCAGAAGAGGAGAAGAGUGGAGAGGGGUGGAGUGGCAAAGGAGAGCCUCCAAACCAAAAGCCUGCGGCAGAGGCCCUAGGAGGCAAGCACUUAACCAUGUUUCAGGACUAGAAACGAAACAUGUGACAAGACCUUUAAAAACAAAUAGAAUGGGAUGGAAUAAAGUUGGAUGAGUAAGCAGGCAUCAAAUCAUUCAGAAACUUGUUGUCCAAGUUGAAGAAUUUGUUUAGUAUUGUAUAAUAAAUGCAGAGGAAGCUAUAUACACUUAUAAUUUACAUUUUUUAAAGGCCACGUUGUAGCUCAAUCGGAUAGUUUGUCUUUUGAUGGGAUGUAGUAUACAGUAUCAUCAUGGUAUAUUCCAGGCAAAAAUAUUUAACUUGAAUCUGUCAAGCCUUUGCAUCUAACACAGUUUAUAAAAAAUACAACAGAUAGAUGAACAAACUAAAUGAUGCCAGAGGAAGUAACUAGACAGAUCCAGAAGGUGAAACAUUCUGCAGGAUAACUGGCCCAUCUCUUCAACAAUUUGUCAUGAUAAAAGCAACUGCUUUAUGAAAAGAAAUUUAAGGGACAUAACAGUUUGAAUUGGAUCCUGGUUUGAACAGACUGUCUAUAAAAUGCAUUUUCAGGACCAUUAAAGAAAUAUGAAUGUAGAUGGACUGAGUAUUGGAUAAAAUAGAACUGUAUUGCCAUGGAAAAGAUCAUUAACUGAAAAGAGCAAGUCACGAAAUAGUAUGUUACAGCAUCUCAUUUUGGUUUAAAAAUGCACAUAUAUGUAUUUAUGUACAACUAAAAAAAUAGUGGGCUUAUACCCUAAGGUGUUAGUAUUGGUAAUCUUUGGAAGUGGAAAUGUGUAUUUUUUUCUUUGUGUUUGCCUAUCUUUUUCAUUGUAACUUUUGCAGCACAUAGACUACUUUCAUUAUAGUAAAAGUUUAUUUUACCACAAUUUUUUUUUUUUUAGAAAGAGUCUCACUCUGUCACCCAGGCUGGAGUGCAGUGGCACAAUCUCAGCCCACUGCAACCUCCACCUCCCAGGUUCAAGCUAUUCUCCUGCCUCAGCCUUCUGAGUAGCUGGGACUACAGGUGCACACCACAUGCCUGGCUAAUUUUUGUAUUUUUAAUAGAGACUGGAUUUCGCGAUGUUGGCCCGGCUGGUCUCGAACUCCUGGCCUCAAGUGAUCCACCCGCUUUAGCCUCCCAAAGUGCUGGGAUUACAGGCGUGAGCCACUGCACCCGGCCUAUUUUACCACAAUUUAUAAAAAUUUUUGUUUAUUUUAAUUAAGCUAUUCUAUGUUAAAAUAAGUAGCCACCCUUGGCUGAUGCAUAAAGAAAAAAUUAGAGGAAGGAAAGAAUGGAGGCAAGGAGGCAAAUCAUGAGACCAUUUCAGAAAUCAAGACGAAAUCAGGAAAGCUAACAUUAGCAAGAGUGAACCAAACUGAUAAUAUCUUUGAGUUUAAAACUGAAGAAUUUACCAAUGAACUGCAUAGGAAAGUAAAGAAAAGAGAGUGGUCAAGAUAGGUCCUGGUUUUGGGGCCUGAACAUCUGAGUGGUUAGUAGAAUCAUUACCAGUUGAUAACCCAUGGAAGAGGGUGGGGGAUGGGUGGUGUCUUGUAGGUUGGUUGACAGGACUGACCCAUUGGGAAGAUAACGAAGAAGCAAAGUAUAUGAAAAGAGGAGAAAGGGUAACCAGAGGAGGGAGGAUACAAAGGGAGUGAUUAGCCAUCAGAAAGAUGAGGGACAUGACAUUUGUUGAGGCAGAUGGCGGAGAAAAGAAAGUUAACAUAGAUGUGGUUAGUUUUGUGGCAUUGACCAAAGGAAGAUUAAGGUGAUACUAUCUGAUGGCUUGGAAUGAAAACCAAACUCCCUGCCACAACAUGAUGAUCUUUCUCUGCAACUUCAUAUUUUGCCUCUUGUUCCUCAUUUGUUACCACUGAGUCACAAUGGUCUUUUUAGUUUCUCAAACACACCAAGAUCUUUCUUGCCUCAUGUGACCUAGAAUGUUUUCUCCCUUUCUUCAUAUCUCAGUUGAAAGGUCUCCUCUCCUCAUCAUCAUACUAUCUAAAGUAGAUUCCCUCCCUUGUUAACCUCUAGCGCAGCCAUUAGUUCCUUCAUAACACUUACCCUAACUUGCAAGUAUUUUGUUUGUUGAUAUAAUUUUUAUCUGACUUCCCCACUAAAAUGUAAGCUCCAUGAGGGCAAAAAUUGUGUGUUUUGUAUACUGAUGCAUCUCUAGCACUUGGUAUAGCAGGCAUUCAAUAAAUAUCAUUAAAUAAGUUUCACCCUUGUAAAAAAAAAAAAUAUAUAUAUAUAAAAUAUAUUCUCUACUUCCAAAAUAACACACUUUCACCAACAACAAGCACUCCAGCUAAUUAGGCAAUAGGCCAAUAAGCAAAGAAUUAUGGUAUAUUAGUCAAGAUUGGCUAGCUUAUGUUCUGACAAUAAACAAUUUCAAAAUCUCAGUUUCAAUUUUAAACUCAAAGAUACUAAUAAACAUUUGUUCUUUGCUCACACAAAGUCUAAUAUGGAACAGGCUUAGAGUUGUCCUCCAACCAGUGUCUGAGCAAUCCAGACCACUUUGAUCUUGUAACUCUGCCAUCCCAACAUGAGAUUCCACUUUCACUGCAGAAGAGGAAAUCUGUAGCAUCAUGCAGCAGCUUGUCACUACCUCAGCCCUCCUACUUCCACUUGCAUUUCACUAGCUAGAACCUUUCACAUGGCUCCACCAAACUGCAAUGGGACUGGGAAGGGAGAAUCAGAUAUUAGGGAGCAUUUAUAAUGCCUUCCAAGGGUGUGUUUCACUGCUUCCAAACUUGCUUAUGAUGAUGUUUUUCAUUUAUGUAAUGAAAUGCCAUAUGUUCUUAGUGUGUAUUCUCAGCAUAACGAGUACAUUUGGAGAAUAUUAAGUCAGUGGACUUUCCUUCUUGAAAAUUCCUGGUUCUGGGCCUAUCAUUAACCCCACUGAUUGAACCAGUGGAAAUAGUUGCCUCUUCGAAUGGAGAGAACCCUGCUGAAGGCAGCUUUGAGUUUCAAAAUAGUGUGUUUCAAGUCCACAUGGAGACGAUAGCCUGAAAGUAAGCACUUAUGAUUUUUGGAGGAGUCUUUGUUAUUAAGGAGAAAAGAGGCUUACAGAAGUCAGAUUCAGAAGACUGUAGUAUUUUUACAAUAAAUGAGAGUAAACAGUAUAAGGAUUUGAUGUAAGGGAAGUUCCUGCAGUGCAAGAAAGAAAGUCCUUUUGGUGCUGAGCGGAACAGUCUAAGAGAGAAAAGGUGAAGAACAAAAGGAAAAUGUAAAUGUGGUAUUCACACUUCCCUACUCCACACUCAGGAUAAACCUAGAGUAUGAGGUAGAGGCGGGAAUCUAGAGGGGAGGAAGCAUAGAAUAGGAACACCCAAAUAGACUUGAUGAAACAAAAAACAUCAAGGAUGGCUCCCGUGUCACCUGGGAAGACACACUUCAUGUAAGGAAUGGAAAAAAGGCAAUGGUAAGGGACAGGGGCCCUGGAUUUUUUACAACAUGCGAUAGAGAACUAUUUGUCUCCUUAAUUUAUUUAACUUUAAAAAAUAAUAAUGAAUGAAAGAAAAAUUACCCAUUUUUCAAAUAUGGGUGUGUAAGUUUUUUCCACUUUGUACAAAAAAUUUUAAAGAAACGAAAACUGCUGAACACCUUAUAUUCAGAAUUACUCCCUGUAUAAGCCCAUUCCAAUUCCAUAUACUGCUGAUUAAAUUUCCAUCAGUUGGCAGUUCUCUAAUAUCAGUUUCACUGCUAUUUAACUAACUACUGCCCUUUGCUACCAGUGUCUCUCUUGGAUGAGAGUCACUUUACUUGAAUAAGAUAACUUCUGAGAAUAAAUCUAUGCACUAUUUUGGAAGAAUUGCUCUAUAGAGUAAAAAAUAAUUCUGGAUAAUUGAAAGUUAUCUUGUGAGUAUCUGGACAUUAAGGAUACAUUUCAAGACUCCUGUUUUCACUAAAAUCCAAUAUUUGUUUAAGCACUUCAAGUUAAAGAGGAGCACCUUCCCCUUUCACCCUGACUAUCGUUGUUAAUUCGUUUUUGAAGCUAUAUAAGAACGUUUCUUUAAUCGGUUUUCCCUUAGGCAUACAUUAGCUCUCUGUUCAAGACUUAGUAGCAGAGAGUAGUAAGUAAAUGGUUAUUAGUGGUUCUUCAUAUAAAACACAUUUGAGUUUCUUAGAAGAAAACUAUGCAUAAAGAUUACUUUCAGAUAUCAUGUCUGUAGUUCGUUAAUAGAGAAGUUUCUCUGAACGUGUGGAACACUGUAAUAAGAUAAAUAAAUUUUUAAAAAGAAAAAGUAAGCAUAUAUACAAAA
Homo sapiens (human) is the source of this 4722-nucleotide long non-coding RNA. RefSeq annotates it as PDCD6IP divergent transcript. The transcript is spliced from 2 exons. The record is from RefSeq and is marked validated. Lineage: Eukaryota; Metazoa; Chordata; Mammalia; Primates; Hominidae.